This 1047-nucleotide long non-coding RNA is filed under the name Homo sapiens (human). RNAcentral's name for it is "long intergenic non-protein coding RNA 1643". Lineage: Eukaryota; Metazoa; Chordata; Mammalia; Primates; Hominidae. The record is from RNAcentral.
GAGCGAGGAAACAGGGCCAGAGAAUUGGAACAAAAUACAAGGCUGCCUCUGAAAGGAAUAUCUUUGUGCUGAUGUGUCCAUCAAGAGAACAUACACAGAAGUGACACUUGCCAGUAAUUUGCAAGCAGAUGGAACUUCAAUAUGGCAAUAGAGAAAGAAUCAAUUAGACCAGAGUCUCCUCAGGAAGACUUUCUAUAGGUGGACGGUCCCCUGGAGAGCCCGCUGUGUUGGAAGAUGUAGAAUAUUCAUAUAUCUGGUGAGCAUCUGCUAGAUGCCAGGGUUGGGGAGAGUCAAGUUGAAGCAAGCAUGAACCCUCAAGGACCUACCAUUUCAAGGCAAGAAAUAGAUACAAAUACAGCGUAAUUAUCUCUCCAAUUAAAGAGCAACCAAGGGACAACUGAACUGGAGGUUCUGCAGAAUUACAACUAAGCACGCAGCCGAGGAAUCUACUCAGCUUUGAUCUCUUAUCGCUCUGCACACACAGCCCUUUCUCUGUAAGGCUAGCUGCUCUCAGCAUCACUGUGUCUAAUCAAACGUGUCACACCUCCACUGAGAAAAUAUUUACUGGAUAGCUACUAGACAUAAGGAUGCAGAAAUGAAUUAGAAAAAUUCCUCGCCCUUGUUCAAAGCUAUGCUGGCUCUUAGAACAUCUGAGCCCCCACUGUUUCAUCUUUAGAGGAUCCCAGCUGCUGGGGUGUGAGGCCAGUGCUGGAGCCAGCAGUCUCUGACCCAGAAGGGACCUGAGGUGCUAAAGAAAAGUCAUAAGACCCUAAUUCCAGAGGGCCCUACCCUAUAACCAGAAGGAAGAACUAUUGCACAGAGAAUCUAAGAAGAAUCUAGACAGACAGCCCUUGCUGGAUUUCUCCACUCUGUUAGCAUUCGAUCAUUUGCCUUUUGUCCAGUCAUAUUUCUGCAUGGCUGUCCAUACUUUGUUGAACCUAAGCACAAAAUGGAAAGUUUUCCCUGUAUCUUUGGGUCGUCAUUCUGAAGGCUCCCAUGUUAUGUAAAACUAUGAUCAAAUAAAUAUGCAUGCCUUUUCUCCUAUAA